GGAGGCCCUAGCUUGCUAGGUGUCCUUAGUGGCGCACGGGUGAGUAACACGUGGGAACAUACCUUAUAGUACGGAAUAACUGCGGGAAACUGUAGCUAAUACCGUAUACUCCAGUAAUGGGAAAGAUUUAUCGCUAUAAGAUUGGCCCGCGCAAGAUUAGCUUGUUGGUGAGGUAAAAGCUCACCAAGGCUUCGAUCUUUAGCUGGUUUGAGAGGACGAUCAGCCACACUGGGACUGAGACACGGCCCAGACUCCUACGGGAGGCAGCAGUAGGGAAUAUUGGACAAUGGGGGCAACCCUGAUCCAGCAAUGCAGCGUGAGUGACGAAGGCCUUAGGGUUGUAAAACUCUUUCAUCGGUGAGGAUAAUGACAGUAGCCGAAGAAGAAGGACCGGCUAAUUCCGUGCCAGCAGCCGCGGUAAUACGGAAGGUCCUAGCGUUGUUCGGAAUUACUGGGCGUAAAGCGCAUGUAGGCGGAACAGAAAGUUAGAAGUGAAAUCCCUGGGCUCAACCUAGGAAUUGCUUUUAAAACUUCUGUUCUGGAAUUCAGGAGAGGAAAAUGGAAUUUCCAGUGUAGAGGUGAAAUUCGUAGAUAUUGGAAGGAACACCAGUGGCGAAGGCGAUUUUCUGGACUGAUAUUGACGCUGAGAUGCGAAGGCAUGGGUAGCAAACGGGAUUAGAUACCCCGGUAGUCCAUGCAGUAAACGAUGGGUGCUAGUCGUCGGACAUUUGUUCGGUGUCGUAGCUAACGCGUUAAGCACCCCGCCUGGGGAGUACGGUCGCAAGAUUAAAACUCAAAUAAAUUGACGGGGACCCGCACAAGCAGUGGAGCAUGUGGUUUAAUUCGACGCAACGCGAAGAACCUUACCAGCGUUUGACAUGGAAAAGUACCGG
Molecule: ribosomal RNA, 893 nt
Filed under: uncultured marine bacterium
Lineage: Bacteria
Description: bacterial SSU rRNA
Rfam family: Bacterial small subunit ribosomal RNA
Source: RNAcentral